Non-coding RNA from Acanthosepion pharaonis, 113 nucleotides. Lineage: Eukaryota; Metazoa; Mollusca; Cephalopoda; Sepiida; Sepiidae. The record is from the annotation of a GenBank genome assembly.
UUACGGUCACAUCACGUUGAAGCACCGGUUCCCGUACGAUCAUCGAAGUUAAGCAACGUUAAGUCUGGUCAGUACUUAGACGGGUGACUACUUGGGAAUACCAGAUACUGUAA